GGUUUGAUUCUGAAGAUAUGGUGGUUGAACGCUGGCGGGAUGCUUUACACAUGCAAGUCGAACGGCAGCACGGACUUCGGUCCUGGUGGCGAGUGGCGGCUGGUGAUAAUGUAUCGGAACGUGCCUAGUAGCGGGGGAUAACUACGCGGGCAGCAGCUAAUACCGCAUACGCCCUUCGGGGGAAAGCGGGGACCUUCGGGCCUCGCACUAUUAGAGAGCGGCCGAUAUCGGAUUAGCUAGUUGGUGGGGUAACGGCUCACCAGCGUGACGAUCGUAUCGCGUGGUUUGAGUUGUCGACCACACUGGGACUGGGAUGUGGUGGACUCUUCCACGAGAGAGGCAGCAGCAGUGGGAAUUUUGGACAAUGGGGAAACCCUGAUCCAGCCAUCCCGCGUGUGCGAUGAAGAGCCUUCAGGUUGUAAAGCACUUUUGGCAGGAAAGAAACAGCCUGGGGAUAAUGCGAUACAGCUGACGGUACCUGCAGAAUAAGCACCGGCUAACUACGUGCCAGCAGCCGCGGUAAUACGUAGGGUGCAAGCGUUAAUCGGAAUUACUGGGCGUAAGCGUGCGCAGGCGGUUCGGAAAGAAAGAUGCUUAAGGAAAUCGAGCCCAACUUUGGAACUGCAUUUUUAACCACCGAGCUAGAGUGUGUCCAGAGGAGGUGGAAUUCCGCGUGUAGCAGUGAAAUGCGUAGAUAUGCGGAGGAACACCGAUGGCGAAGGCAGCCUCCUGGGAUAACACUGACGCUCAUGCACGAAAGCGUGGGGAGCAAACAGGAUUAGAUACCCUGGUAGUCACGCCUAAACGAUGUCAACUAGCUGUUGGGGCCUUCGGGCCUUGGUAGCGCAGCUAACGCGUGAAGUUGACCGCCUGGGAAGUACGGUCGCAAGAUUAAAACUCAAAGAUUGACUGGGGACCCGCACAAGCGGUGGAUGAUGUGGAUUAAUUCGAUGCAACGCGAAAAACCUUACCUACCCAACCGACAUGUCUGGAAUCCCGAAGAGAUUUGGGAGUGCUCGCAAGAGAACCGGAACACAGGUGCUGCAUGGCUGUCGUCAGCUCGUGUCGUGAGAUGUUGGGUUAAGUCCACCAACGAGCGCAGCCUGUCAUUAGUUGCUACGAAGAAGGGCACUCUAAUGAGACUGCCGGUGACAAACCGGAGGAAGGUGGGGAUGACGUCAAGUCCUCAUGGCCCUUAUGGGUAGGGCUUCACACGUCAUACAAUGACCAAUGGUCAGGACAGAGGGUCGCCAACCCGCGAGGGGGACCAAUCUUGGAGACCGAUCGAUGGGCCGGAUCGCAGUGUGUGCAACUCGACUGCGUGAAGUCGGAAUCGCUAGUAAUCGCGGAUCAGCAUGUCGCGGUGAAUACGUUCCCGGGUCUUGUACACACCGCCCGUCACACCAUGGGAGUGGGUUUUACCGAAGUAGUUAGCCUAACCGUAAGGAGGCGAUUGUGAAUGAAGGAUGUGAUGAGCUGGGUGAAGUCGUAACAAACGAA
RNAcentral lists this ribosomal RNA (1500 nucleotides) under uncultured Bordetella sp. RNAcentral describes it as "partial 16S-23S ribosomal RNA intergenic spacer". It matches the Rfam family "Bacterial small subunit ribosomal RNA". The record is from RNAcentral. Lineage: Bacteria; Pseudomonadati; Pseudomonadota; Betaproteobacteria; Burkholderiales; Alcaligenaceae.